Molecule: long non-coding RNA, 856 nt
Organism: Onychostoma macrolepis
Lineage: Eukaryota; Metazoa; Chordata; Actinopteri; Cypriniformes; Cyprinidae
Exons: 5
Source: RefSeq, a predicted model, not a curated record
CGCACCUGGGCUUUCACAAACCUCCACCACGUAUCCCGUCACAGCACUGCCGCCAUCGUAAGACGGCCCAGACCAGGACAAAACCAGAGAGUGAGGGGAGAGGAGAUACGCCACGGGACAGGAGGCUGGAGGCUGAGGCAGACCCAGCAAGAAGCUACAGGAGAGCUGCCUUUGAACACACACUUCAAACGGGCCGUCUCUCCAAUGUGUACCUCCAGACGAUCUAAUGGAUCUACAAACUGCAGAGGAGGUGCUGUAAACACAAAAACACAGAAGAAAGAAGUUAUGCAGGUUUGGACUGACAUGAGGACGCCUCAACAAAUCCAUUUCUGCACAGGAAGUAAUUCUCACAGAGGAAGGUGGAAACAGGAAAACAAACUUCUUCCUGUUAGUGGAAAGAUGGAGGGAUGCUGAUAGAAGAAGAUGUGAGUGAAGACAGUGGAAGUCUGGGAAGAGUGAAGAUCAGUAUUAACUAAAGCUUCUACUUUGGCAAACCAUCAACAAUUGUAACACAUGCCAACAGCAUGGAGCCAAUUCACUCAGUAUUCCUCCACUUCUGUUACAACAGGAAGAACUAAAGAACACAAAUCAAAUAGAUACGCCUAAGUAUUGUUUUGGAAUCUGGUAUCAUUUUGAACUUAUAGUGUGUACAAAUUAACCCAGUGGUAAAGUUAAAAAGAAAGUUUGGUAACACAUUAAAAUAAGACUCCAGUUGUUAACAUUAACAUGAACUAAUAAUGAAAAAUACAUGAAAGCAUUUAUUCAUUUUAGUCAAUGUAAAUUUCAACAUUUAUUAAUACAUUGUUAAAAUCAAAAGUUGUAUUUGUUAAUGUUAUUUAAUGGACCUGAGCUAACA